Molecule: ribosomal RNA, 1776 nt
Filed under: Meloidogyne arenaria
Lineage: Eukaryota; Metazoa; Nematoda; Chromadorea; Rhabditida; Meloidogynidae
Also listed under: 1 other name
Description: SSU rRNA
Rfam family: Eukaryotic small subunit ribosomal RNA
Source: RNAcentral
UCUGGUUGAUCCUGCCUGAACUGAUGUGUUUAUUUCAAAGAUUAAGCCAUGCAUGUAUAAGUUUAAUCGUUUAUCGAGAAACCGCGAACGGCUCAUUACAAUGGCCAUUAUUUACUUGAUCUUGAUUGUCUAAAUGGAUAACUGUGGAAAAGCUAGAGCUAAUACAUGCACUAAAGCUUUGUCCUUACGGAAAAGCGCAUUUAUUAGAACAAAACCACGCGGCUUCGGCUGCUUCUUGUUGACUCAGAAUAACUUAGCUGACCGCAUGGCCUUGUGCCGGCGGCGUGUCUUUCAAGCGUCCACUUUAUCAACUUGACGGGAGCAUAAUCGACUCCCGUGGUGGUGACGGAUAACGGAGGAUCAGGGUUCGACUCCGGAGAAGGGGCCUGAGAAAUGGCCACUACGUCUAAGGAUGGCAGCAGGCGCGCAAAUUACCCACUCUCGGCUCGAGGAGGUAGUGACGAGAAAUAACGAGACUGUUCUCUUUGAGGCCGGUCAUCGGAAUGGGUACAAUUUAAACCCUUUAACGAGUAUCAAGCAGAGGGCAAGUCUGGUGCCAGCAGCCGCGGUAAUUCCAGCUCUGCAAAUACAUAGAAUUAUUGCUGCGGUUAGAAAGCUCAUAGUUGGAUUCGUAUCGAUACCUUGGAACCCUUCGGGUGUCUCUAGGUGUUAUCGAUUUAUCGUAAUGUUCGGUUUUGAGUCCUUAACAGGAUUCUUAACAGGCAUUGCAAGUUUACUUUGAACAAAUCAGAGUGCUUCAAACAGGCGUUUUCGCUUGAAUGAUCGUGCAUGGAAUAAUAGAAAAUGAUUUCGGUUCAGUUUUAUUGGUUUUACGGACUGAGAUAAUGGUUAACAGAGACAAACGGGGGCAUUUGUAUGGUCCCGUGAGAGGUGAAAUUCUUGGACCGUGGCCAGACAAACUACAGCGAAAGCAUUUGCCAAGAAUGUUUUUAUUAAUCAAGAACGAAAGUCAGAGGUUCGAAGGCGAUCAGAUACCGCCCUAGUUCUGACCGUAAACGAUGCCAACUAGCGAUCCGCCGAUGGAAAUUAUAUUGCCUUGGUGGGGAGCUUCCCGGAAACGAAAGUCUUCCGGUUCCGGGGAAGUAUGGUUGCAAAGCUGAAACUUAAAGGAAUUGACGGAAGGGCACCACCAGGAGUGGAGCCUGCGGCUUAAUUUGACUCAACACGGGGAAACUCACCCGGCCCGGACACUGUGAGGAUUGACAGAUUGAUAGCUUUUUCAUGAUUCAGUGGAUGGUGGUGCAUGGCCGUUCUUAGUUCGUGGAGUGAUUUGUCUGGUUUAUUCCGAUAACGAGCGAGACUCUAACCUACUAAAUAGUUGGUACAUACUCUUAGUGUAUACAGCUUCUUAGAGGGAUUUGCGGCGUUCAGCCGAAAGAAAUUGAGCAAUAACAGGUCUGUGAUGCCCUUAGAUGUCCGGGGCUGCACGCGCGCUACACUGGCAAAAUCAACGUGCUUGUCCUACCCUGAAAGGGGCGGGUAAACCAUUGAAAAUUUGCCGUGAUUGGGAUCGGAAAUUGCAAUUAUUUUCCGUGAACGAGGAAUUCCAAGUAAGUGCGAGUCAUCAGCUCGCGUUGAUUACGUCCCUGCCCUUUGUACACACCGCCCGUCGCUGCCCGGGACUGAGCCAUUUCGAGAAAUUUGGGGACCGUUGAUUUAAUUUUUCUAAAUUACUUUGAUGGAAACCAAUUUAAUCGCAGUGGCUUGAACCGGGCAAAAGUCGUAACAAGGUAGCUGUAGGUGAACCUGCUGCUG